AUAGCUGGGUAGCUAUGUGCGGAAGGGAUAAGUGCUGAAAGCAUCUAAGCAUGAAGCCCCCCUCAAGAUGAGAUUUCCCAUAGCGUAAGCUAGUAAGAUCCCUGAAAGAUGAUCAGGUUGAUAGGUUCGAGGUGGAAGCAUGGUGAUAUGUGGAGCUGACGAAUACUAAUAGAUCGAGGACUUAACCAUAUAA
Molecule: ribosomal RNA, 193 nt
Filed under: Bacillus anthracis str. 95014
Lineage: Bacteria; Bacillati; Bacillota; Bacilli; Caryophanales; Bacillaceae
Description: partial 23S ribosomal RNA
Rfam family: Bacterial large subunit ribosomal RNA
Source: RNAcentral